GCACGGGVRUCAAUCCUGGUGGCGAGUGGCGAACGGGUGAGUAAUACAUCGGAACGUGCCCAAUCGUGGGGGAUAACGCAGCGAAAGCUGUGCUAAUACCGCAURMGAUCUACGGAUGAARGCAGGGGAYCGCAAGRCCUUGCGCGAAUGGAGCGGCCGAUGGCAGAUUAGGUAGUUGGUGGGGUAAAGGCUCACCAAGCCKRCGAUCUGUAGCUGGUCUGAGAGGACGACCAGCCACACUGGGACUGAGACACGGCCCAGACUCCUACGGGAGGCAGCAGUGGGGAAUUUUGGACAAUGGGCGMAAGCCUGAUCCAGCCAUGCCGCGUGCAGGAUGAAGGCCUUCGGGUUGUAAACUGCUUUUGUACGGAACGAAAMGGCUCUUUCUAAUAAAGARGGCUMAUGACGGUACCGUAAGAAUAAGCACCGGCUAACUACGUGCCAGCAGCCGCGGUAAUACGUAGGGUGCAAGCGUUAAUCGGAAUUACUGGGCGUAAAGCGUGCGCAGGCGGUKAUGUAAGACAGAUGUGAAAUCCCCGGGCUCAACCUGGGAACUGCAUUUGUGACUGCAU
This 572-nucleotide ribosomal RNA is filed under the name uncultured bacterium. RNAcentral's name for it is "partial 16S ribosomal RNA". It matches the Rfam family "Bacterial small subunit ribosomal RNA", at positions 69 to 638 of the family's 1533-position model. The record is from RNAcentral.